Molecule: ribosomal RNA, 253 nt
Filed under: uncultured bacterium
Lineage: Bacteria
Description: partial 16S ribosomal RNA
Rfam family: Bacterial small subunit ribosomal RNA
Source: RNAcentral
UACGAUGGGAGCUAGCGUUGUUCGGAAUCACUGGGCGUAAAGCGCACGCAGGCGGAUCGAUAAGGCGGGGGUGAAGGCCCGGGGCUCAACCUCGGAAUUGCCUUCGAUACUGUCGGUCUCGAGUCCGGGAGAGGUGAGUGGAAUUCCUAGUGUAGAGGUGAAAUUCGUAGAUAUUAGGAAGAACACCAGUGGCGAAGGCGGCUCACUGGCCCGGUACUGACGCUCAGGUGCGAAAGCGUGGGGAGCAAACAGG